This 495-nucleotide ribosomal RNA is filed under the name uncultured bacterium. RNAcentral's name for it is "partial 16S ribosomal RNA". It matches the Rfam family "Bacterial small subunit ribosomal RNA", at positions 28 to 507 of the family's 1533-position model. The record is from RNAcentral.
GACGAACGCUGGCGGCGUGCCUAAUACAUGCAAGUAGAACGCUGAAGGAGGAGCUUGCUUCUCUGGAUGAGUUGCGAACGGGUGAGUAACGCGUAGGUAACCUGCCUGGUAGCGGGGGAUAACUAUUGGAAACGAUAGCUAAUACCGCAUAAUAGUAGAUGUUGCAUGACAUUUGCUUAAAAGGUGCAAUUGCAUCACUACCAGAUGGACCUGCGUUGUAUUAGCUAGUUGGUGGGGUAACGGCUCACCAAGGCGACGAUACAUAGCCGACCUGAGAGGGUGAUCGGCCACACUGGGACUGAGACACGGCCCAGACUCCUACGGGAGGCAGCAGUAGGGAAUCUUCGGCAAUGGACGGAAGUCUGACUGAGCAACGCCGCGUGAGUGAAGAAGGUUUUCGGAUCGUAAAGCCCUGUUGUAAGAGAAGAACGAGUGUGAGAGUGGAAAGUUCGCACUGUGACGGUAUCUUACCAGAAAGAGACGGCUAACUACGUG